RNAcentral lists this long non-coding RNA (534 nucleotides) under Phoenix dactylifera (date palm). Its description in RNAcentral is "long non-coding RNA (PDAC_LNC022049)". Lineage: Eukaryota; Viridiplantae; Streptophyta; Magnoliopsida; Arecales; Arecaceae. The record is from RNAcentral.
UUGUCAAUAAAUGAGGAGGGUGAUAUGGAGAUUUUACCAAUGCCAAUGAUUUGACCUUUAGCAUUGUCUCCAAAUGUGACUACUCCUCCUUCUUUUGAUUUCAAGGUGACGAAAAGACUCUCGUCACCGGUCAUAUGCCUUGAGCAACCGCUAUCAAGAUACCACAUUCUCUUUUUGCUCCGGCUGCAAGGCAUACCUGGCAAAAUAAUCAGUGAAGCUCUUAGGUACCCAAGUUUUCUUGGGUCCUUCUUGGUUAGUGUAGUUGGUUCCCUUAGGCACCCACAUUUUAGUUGUGUUUUUACGCUUUACAAAUGUAUUCUUGUUAGUUUGAAUUUGAAUGCAAGAAUAGGCUUUAUGUCCACUUUUUCCACAAUGAAAGCAUGUAGGUUUUUCAGUUUUGAUAUCUUUUGCUUUCACAAAAAAGUUCUUUAGAUAUUUUUGUUGUUUGCUAGUUUUGUAUCCUAAUCCGGCUUUAUUAAAAACAGCUCUUUGAUUGGAUAGAAUAAGAUUUAAUUUUUCAGAGCUAUGUGUAAA